Molecule: ribosomal RNA, 449 nt
Filed under: uncultured bacterium
Lineage: Bacteria
Description: bacterial SSU rRNA
Rfam family: Bacterial small subunit ribosomal RNA
Source: RNAcentral
CGGCCAGACUCCUACGGGAGGCAGCAGUGGGGAAUAUUGCACAAUGGGGGAAACCCUGAUGCAGCGACGCCGCGUGAGUGAAGAAGUAUUUCGGUAUGUAAAGCUCUAUCAGCAGGGAAGAAGUUGACGGUACCUGAGUAAGAAGCCCCGGCUAACUACGUGCCAGCAGCCGCGGUAAUACGUAGGGGGCAAGCGUUAUCCGGAUUUACUGGGUGUAAAGGGAGCGUAGACGGCAGUGCAAGUCUGAAGUGAAAGCCCCGGGCUUAACCCGGGAAUUGCUUUGGAAACUGUACGGCUGGAGUGCUGGAGAGGUAAGCGGAAUUCCUAGUGUAGCGGUGAAAUGCGUAGAUAUUAGGAGGAACACCAGUGGCGAAGGCGGCUUACUGGACAGUAACUGACGUUGAGGCUCGAAAGCGUGGGGAGCAAACAGGAUUAGAUACCCCGGUAAA